GCUGGGUGUGGUGGUGGGCACCUGUAAUCCCAGCUACUCGGGAGGCUGAGGCAGGAGAAUCACUUGAACCCGGGAGGUGGAGGUUGCAGUGAGCCAAGACCGCACCACUGCACUGCAACCUGGGUAACAGAGUGAGACUCUGUCUCCA
Molecule: non-coding RNA, 148 nt
Filed under: Pan paniscus (pygmy chimpanzee)
Lineage: Eukaryota; Metazoa; Chordata; Mammalia; Primates; Hominidae
Also listed under: 1 other name
Source: Rfam by way of RNAcentral